This 405-nucleotide ribosomal RNA is filed under the name uncultured bacterium. RNAcentral describes it as "bacterial SSU rRNA". It matches the Rfam family "Bacterial small subunit ribosomal RNA", at positions 355 to 776 of the family's 1533-position model. The record is from RNAcentral.
UCGGGAAUAUUGCGCAAUGGAGGAAACUCUGACGCAGUGACGCCGCGUAUAGGACGAAGGUCUUCGGAUUGUAAACUAUUGUCGUUAGGGCAGAGAAAGGACAGUACCUAAGGAGGAAGCUCCGGCUAACUACGUGCCAGCAGCCGCGGUAAUACGUAGGGAGCAAGCGUUAUCCGGAUUUAUUGGGUGUAAAGGGUGCGUAGACGGGAAAAUAAGUUAGUUGUGAAAUCCCUCGGCUCAACUGAGGAACUGCAACUAAAACUGUUUUUCUUGAGUAUUGGAGAGGAAAGCGGAAUUCCUAGUGUAGCGGUGAAAUGCGUAGAUAUUAGGAGGAACACCAGUGGCGAAGGCGGCUUUCUGGACAAAAACUGACGCUGAGGCUCGAAAGCAUGGGUAGCGAACAGG